UAAAUGAUGGGAAUCUGAGCAAAGGCUGUGU
Molecule: non-coding RNA, 31 nt
Filed under: Homo sapiens (human)
Lineage: Eukaryota; Metazoa; Chordata; Mammalia; Primates; Hominidae
Source: RNAcentral